UCAAGAAACUUCCACAAUGGGCGAAAGCCUGAUGGAGCGACGUCGCGUGAGUGAUGAAGGCCUUCGGGUCGUAAAGCUCUGUCGUAUGGGACUAACAAAAUGAAGGUACCAUGCAAGAAAGGAUCGGCUAACUUCGUGCCAGCAGCCGCGGUAAGACGAGGGAUCCUAGCGUUGUUCGGAAUCAUUGGGCGUAAAGCGGGUGUAGGCGGACUUAUAAGUCAGGCGUGAAAUCCCAGGGCUCAACCCUGGAAGUGCACUUGAUACUGCAAGUCUUGAGUGUGGUAGAGGCUAUUAGAAUUCUUGGUGUAGUGGUGAAAUACGUAGAUAUCAAGAGGAAUACCGGAGGCGAAGGCGGAUAGCUGGGCCAACACUGACGCUGAGACCCGAAAGCGUGGGGAUCAAACAGGAUUAGAUACCCAAGUAGUCCCUGAGCGGGCUGGCAAGGCGCAU
This 450-nucleotide ribosomal RNA is filed under the name uncultured bacterium. RNAcentral's name for it is "bacterial SSU rRNA". It matches the Rfam family "Bacterial small subunit ribosomal RNA", at positions 355 to 825 of the family's 1533-position model. The record is from RNAcentral.